GACUAAUGACCAUGUAGCAUCCUCACGGUCAUGUGAUUAAAAUUUGGUUACUUGCCGCUCCAUAUUUAUGACAGUCGCAGUGUUUCGAGGUUACGUCAUCCCCUUUUGUGACCGUCUGAUAAGCCAAGUCAAUGGGGAAACCAGAUUCACUAAUUCACCAGAUUGACCACCGUAAGAACUGCACUGCAGCGAUUCACUUAACAACUGUGGAAAGGAAGGUUGAACAAUGGGGCAAAACUUGCUUAAGAACUGUUUCGCUUAGCAACAGACAUUUGGGGCUCAGUUGUGGUCAUAUAUUGAGGACAACCUUUAAAAAAAAUCACUAACCCCGCCCCUAACUGCCUUAUCUUCCAGCUGAGGGCUGAUCUCUCCGGGGCAGCCUUGAGAAGCAGCUGUGGGCUUGUAAAGUACUCCUUUAAAUUAAAAGACUUUGAAAACAAUUUCAACGGGGGCUUAGGAAGGAGAAAAGCAAAAAAAUGGACGAUUAAAUUGGCCACGCACACCCAGUCAUAUGACCUUGUAGCCAUGCCCGCCCACCCAGUCUGGUCCCCCAACAGUCUGAGGGACUGUGAAUCAGCCCCCUGUUUAAAACGUUUGAGGACCCCCGCUCUACAACGUCAGACAAACGGCUGUCCAGAAUAUUGGGUGCAUCCCAAGGUCUCCUCACCUCCGAGAAGAAAACCAUCCCGAUGGUCUUCUCUCUUAGAUCGGGAUGGUGCAGGACGACAUCGAACUGAGGAAUACCUCCAUCACCAUUUUUGGCAUGCUCCUAAAAGGACUGAAGGAGAUACGGAACAGUAAUAUGGCCGAAAACAUCCUGAACAGCCUUGUUCCUCUAGUCAUACUACUGUCAAAUGGUCGGACGAAAGAGGCUGCUGCACGCAAUACAUGCAACCGGAUGUGGUGACUUCAAAACAAAUCGAAGAAGUUUUCCUUG
Molecule: non-coding RNA, 937 nt
Organism: Pantherophis guttatus
Lineage: Eukaryota; Metazoa; Chordata; Lepidosauria; Squamata; Colubridae
Source: RefSeq, a predicted model, not a curated record